This 299-nucleotide signal recognition particle RNA is filed under the name Saimiri boliviensis boliviensis (Bolivian squirrel monkey). RNAcentral describes it as "Metazoan signal recognition particle RNA (ENSSBOG00000006694.1)". It matches the Rfam family "Metazoan signal recognition particle RNA". Rfam says of the family: The signal recognition particle (SRP) is a universally conserved ribonucleoprotein. It is involved in the co-translational targeting of proteins to membranes. The eukaryotic SRP consists of a 300-nucleotide 7S RNA and six proteins: SRPs 72, 68, 54, 19, 14, and 9. The record is from RNAcentral. Lineage: Eukaryota; Metazoa; Chordata; Mammalia; Primates; Cebidae.
GCCAGGCGCAGUGGCAUGUGCCUGUAGUCCCAGCUACUAGGGAGGCUGAGGCUGGAGGAUCACUUGAGUCCGGGAGUUCUGGGUUGUAAUGUGUUAUGCCAACUGGGUGUCCGCACUAAGUCUGGCAUCAAUAUGGUGAUCUCGUGGGAGUGGGGGACCACCAAGUUGCCUAAUGAGGGGCAAACCAGCCCAGGUCAGAAACAGAGCAGGUCAAAACUCCAGUGCUGAUCAGUAGCGGGAUUGCGCCUGUGAAUGGCCACUGCACUCCAGCAUGGGCAACAUAGCGAGCCCCCAUCUCU